UUUUUUUUUUUUUUUUUUUUUUUUUGUGUUUUCCAGCCAAAUGCUUCAUGUGCCAUGGGGGUUUCCGAUGAGAGCAAGAACACUUUCAUGGAGCUCCAGAGGAAGAAAGUUCACCGCUAUGUGAUAUUCAAGGUUGAUGAGAAGAAGAGGGAGGUUGUAGUUGAAAAAAUUGGCGGUCCGGCGGAGAGCUAUGAUGAUUUUGUGGCAGCUUUGCCGGAUAAUGAUUGUCGAUAUGCCGUAUAUGACUUUGAUUUCGUAACUUCUGAGAACUGUCAAAAGAGCAAGAUCUUCUUCAUCGCAUGGUUAGUUUUUGCCCUUAAUCUCUUCACCAUAUGAUUUAUGUAUAGACUAUCGAGUCACUAUUAGUCCCGUUAAACGAUCAUUCUCAAAUCCAGACGCAGAUUAUGUUAGUUGGCCAGAUCAUUGUGUUUCUUCCUGGCACCCAAGUUCGAAAUCCCGCUCCCCAUAGAUUAGACUAGUCUAGUACAAUGGAGGAACAAUAUCACAAAUUCUGAUCCAAUUCCAAAGCUGCAAUUUUCAAAUACCUGCAGUUAUUUGCAAAUCCAUGAUUUUUUUAUAUAAAUCAUACAUAAAUUUGCAUUUGCACCCUUGAUUUUGUAUCCAGUGAUGAUCCUUUCAUACAAAAUCAGUGGUGCAGAAUACUAUUGGUUCAAAUUUUAGGCCUAAAAAACCAAAACUUGCGUGAGCUUGGAAAUCCAAAUACUUGUUCUAUCUUGUGCUAAUUCAUGAUUAUUUAUAUACUAAUGCUCAGGUCCCCUUCAACCUCUCGAAUCCGUGCGAAGAUGCUCUAUGCCACAUCUAAAAACAGGUUUAGGAGGGAGCUGGACGGUAUCCACUACGAGAUUCAGGCUACUGACCCAACAGAGAUGGAUCUUGAGGUGCUCAAAGACCGCGCCCAUUGAACCGUCUCUGCAGUACUAAAACACAUGUUCCUCAGUCAAUCAAAGUCUCUAGGGUUCUGCAAGUUUGUUCUGCUGGCUUCACCAUGUAUAGAACCCGUUACCAGCACAAAACUGCAUUACUGUUCCUCGAAUAAACUGGCAGGUGAGUUAGCUGGUACGAAAAGUAUGGUUUGAUGUUAUCUUCUUGCUUCAAACUUUAAUUACCUUUAGGUGAUGUAAACCCCGAGAAUUGUUGCUCUAUACAUUUGGUUUCGUAUGGAUUUAUGUUUGCGGAGCAAGAAAUGCACAACCAGUCAUUGAUUUAUUGGUCUUGAACAAAUUCAUAACCCGAAAUAUAUGCUUAAUAGUCAAUGUAGUCGGAAAGAUAAGCGAAGAUCAACCAUGAACUUUAAUACAAAAACAACUACAAAAAUACAGAAAAGAGUAUGCGGUUUCUACUUUAAUGUAAUACAUAAUGAUAUAGAGACCGAAACAGAGAAAAAUGAAAACUUAUCCUAAAAAAUUGCUCCAUUUGUAGAUGAACAAUAGAAACUCCCUUCUAGUCUAUGUGAUCUAGGGCUGCUUUCGAUCUCUUACUUCCUUAGUUGUGUUCGUUGCUUUCGCCAGACAGUUCCUCCAAAGAUUUUCCUUUCGAUUCAGGUACAAAGAACGUAAAUAAUAAACCCAAAAAGUUGAUCACACCCAACAUAAUAAGUGAGUUCUUGACCCCUAUACCAGCAGGAAACCCUGCUUCUGCCUUAGCCUUGUCCUGCGGUUGCGCCAAGAACAAGAAUCCGAAUGCACCCACCAUUGCCCCUAACUUUCCGGCUGCUGCAGAUAUGCCAUGGCAAGUUGACCGCAGUCUAGCCGGGAAAAUUUCAGCUGGCACCACAAAUGUAGUAGCAUUAGGUCCGAAAUUUGCAAAGAAGAAAGUCAGUGAGUAGAAUACCACAAACCCUAUCAAGUGAUGUGUCCAAUAAUCGUAGAGAAAUGCCAAUACAAACAUGAACACUGUCAUGAAGAAGAAUCCCAUCAUUUGGAUUGUGAAUCUUCCGAUUUUAUCAAUGAAGGCUACAGUGAACCAGUAUCCGGGUACAGUACUGCAUAGGGCGAUAAGCGUUUGUGCCCUUGCAAUUCUAUAAACCUCUGAAACGGCAUUCAAAGUUUUAGCAUUAGGAAUCCAUCCAAUGGCGCUGAAAAUGUCUUUCUGAAACAGAUUUUGGCUAUAAAAUGCAAUGUCAAGCAAGAACCAUGUGCUUGUGGUUCCAAGCAAGUGGAGUCCAUGGCGGUGCAUAAACUCCUUAGAGAAUAAACCGAAAGAUUUCACAGUUUCCUUAGGCAACCUGACGGGUUCAGGUUCUAUGUCAACCUGCAAUACUUUUCCCAUAUCAGCAUUAGCCUGGUUGACAUCUUUCGCAACAAGCGCUGUGUAACGGGCAGUUUCUGGCAUCUUUGAGCGCGAGUAGUAGGUUAGAGCUGCCGGAAGUGCUCCAACCAUUAGAAUGAUUCUCCAAAGGUAGUCUGCUUGUGGGACAGUUGAACCAACUGGAUCAACUUCAUAAGAUGGAGCCUUGAAUUUGGCCUCAAAAAUCGCAGAGAUGAGCAUUGCAAACAACCCUCCUGCUAGAAUUCCAAACCCCUGCAUGGCAAACACCGCGGCAACAAAGGCACCACGAGUCUUUUUAUUUGCGUAUUCAGACAUUAUGGUGGCGGAAAGAGGGUAGUCACCACCAAUGCCGAACCCUAGCCAGAACCGAAAGAAACAAAGCGUGGUCAUUACAGACUUCGCGGUGUGCCCAAAGGAGAGCGCGGAACCAAUGGAGCAUAUGAUCAUGAGCAUAAGUGUCAUGCCAUACACUUUUUUUCUCCCCAUUUUGUCACCAAGCCAGCCGAAGACCACUUGCCCUGCCAAUGUGCCAACAAGCGCCACGCCAUUGACAGCUGCUGACACAUUUGGAGGCAAUGUGCCUGGUUUUGGUGAUCCUUCAACGUGGUAAUAUAUGCGGCCAAGCAAUUUGGUGACGAGGGAUAUGCAGAAGAGAUCGUAUGCGUCGGUGAAGAAUCCCAUUCCGGCGAUUACGAUUGUGGUGAAAUGGUACCAUUGUGUUUUUGCAGUGUCAAGUGCACUGAGCACAUGCAGUUGUUCCUUGGCCAUGGAUUUAGCCUUGCUUGGUUUGAUCUCUCUCUUGCAAACUCUAUUUCUCUGGUUCAUCAAUAUGCAAGAACACAAACGGUAAGAUUACAUUUCCAUAACACUGUAUGAAUAAAGAAUGAUUUAAAUGUGAAUUUGAUUGAUAUAAACACAGAAGAUUAAAACACAAGAGUUUCACAUUUCUUGAAGAAACUUAAAAUAAGUCGGAAAAAUUCACAUAAAGAGGAUAUAACUAAUUGUUCCCGGAAACUAUACGUGCAAGACGUUCAUUCUUUAGUAAACAACGGAUGUGCAUUGAUACUGCUGAAAAUCCGUCAACAUGUUUGUACGUUUUGUUACAGACAAUGAUAUUGACAUAUUAUCAAUGACAUAUCAACACUCUGUUGAUUAAUAAAGAACAUGCAUCAGUUCCAUAGCCAGACAAAUAAUUCUUCAUAUAUAAUUGAAAGAUUGCAUUGUAAAACAUAGGAUGAGACCAAAAUAAUUCCUAGAAUUAAUUUAUAAAAAUUCAACAAUGGUAAAUAAAAUAUGAAAAACAUGCAGCUUCAUCAAGAAGAAACAAGAACAUGCAUGCAUAGAGUUUUUUUCCUAACCUGGAUCUUCUCUCUCAACCUAGAGAGAGAGAGAGAGAGAGAGAGAGAAACUCCGACUCCAACUCCGACUCCGAGAGAUCUAGAGAGAGGGGUAGGUAAUAGGUUAUGCUCUAGGGGAAGCAGGGAAUGAGAAUUUAUAAGGGAAGGGCGCGUCGCCGAGCAACCGGAAUAUUACAAUGGCAUAUUCUUCCCCUCCAUUUUAGCUAGCUGUUGUUUCUCUGCAGACCCUUCUGUUCAACAAACUCAAGACAUCUUUCAGCGGUAUAUUCCGAAUGUCCGAGAAUUUCUAGUAGAAACCAGUAGUAGCCAAAACCGAAAACAGUUCCAUAUACGUUACCAGAACGCGUAUUUCCACAGUUGUCCAAUUUCUAUAUUUAGUUUUCAAAUUUGAGGUUGAAAUUUUUGACAUAAAUGGUACGUAAUAUAUACUUUGGUGAAGGAAUUAAAUUCCAUAUAAUCUGAGGGGAUGGAAUAUAUGUCCUAACUGCUAUGCUAGCUAGCUGGAGGAUCGUAAAAGAUUUCAUUACAAGAUUCAUUUCUGAUUUGGGGGGAGAUUUUCAGGUAAAAGUAAUCAAUAAUUUCUCAAUGAUUUGGAGACCAAAAGCAAAGAAAUUAUAGAAUGAUGGUAGAAAUAAAUGGAUUAAUGGAACAGUGUGCCGAGUGUACGAAUGUACGAACACCCUCUAUAUUAAUUUGGAAAGUAAAAAAGUUCCAAGUUUUUGAAUCCUCAAUCACGUUGAGAAGAAAAAAUGUACAUGACACAUGUUCUAUUUGACUCCUUUUAAGUGUUACAAAUAUAAGAUUUCUAUUAAAUAUAAGGAAUAUAAUAUUAAAUUUUCUCCUCGUAAUCGUAUUGUCGAGAUUUCCUUAGAAAAAAUAAAGAAAAAUAAUAUCAAUGAAACCUGAGUGGCAGGAGUUCUUGAGUGUGAAUGAUUGUGCAUAUUAUACGUUUAUCUCUAUUAUUACGUGACUACGACUACGAUCUGAUACGGGACAUACUCUGAACAGUGAGUGGACUAGCCACUCUGCCUUAAGAGAAAAUACGCAAAUCUACCUAACCCCCCAAAACAAAUUCGACUUUCACAUUGAGAAACAGAAAACAGUUGAUGAUUCACUUCUACUUUAUAUACUCAAUACCAUUUAGUCACAGCUGCGGAGAGAAACAUGGGUACCCUAGUUUUGAUCAUACACGCGACACCGUAGAUGACAGUUUGAAACACAAGACCUCAGGUUCAAAGAUAAACGCUGACGCUUUACGUACACACAUGUUAUACAUGGAAAAUGCACACUUUAUCUGGCAUCCUUUGUAAAAGCCAGGACAUAGACUCAUGGAAUACCACAAAGGAUGAAAUACCCCUCCCCAAAAUGAACUACAGGCUUACAUUACAACAUUAUUUUCUGCACUGCUUAUAGAUCCAACCUACACAACUGGAACUGUCCUGUUGUUAUAGUUUGAUUGCUCCAACUCCACUGUCCCGGUUUCGCUUUCUUCUUCGUUCUCACCCGACAUCUCCUCCAACGACCUCCCAUUCGAUUCAGGCACCAAGAAAGUGAACAAUAUCCCCAAGAAGUUGACCACACCCAACACAAGGAGCGAGUUUUUAACCCCGAUGCCUGGAGGGUACCCUGCAUCUGUCUUGUUCUUAUCUUUGUUCUGAGCCAAGUACAAGAACCCGAAUACACCAACUAUGGCGCCAAGCUUCCCGGACGCAGCUGAGAUUCCAUGACACGUAGACCGGAACCUAGCUGGGAAAAUCUCAGCCGGCACAACAAAUGUGGUUGCAUUAGGACCGAAGUUCGCAAAAAAGAAGGUCAAUGCGUAGAUCACUACGAACCCAAUUCGGUUGUCCUUGUGAGUCCAGUGAUCGUAGGGAAUAGCCAGUGCAAACAUGAACACUGUCAUGAAGAAGAAUCCCAUCAAUUGAAUUGCAAAUCUUCCAAUCCUGUCAAUGAAAGCUACCGUAAACCAGUAGCCAGGGACAGUACUGCACAAUGCAAUAAGAGUUUGGGCCCUUGCGAUUCUGUAGACUUCUUCAAUAGCAUUCAUCGUCUCUGCAGGAGGAAUCCAUCCGAUCGCACUGAAAAUAUCCUUUUGGAACAGAUUUUGGCUGUAGAAUGCAAUGUCAAGUAAGAACCAAGUGCUUGUUGUUCCAAGCAAGUGAAGUCCAUGACGGUGCAUAAACUCCUUGGAGAACAUAGCAAAUGCAUUAGCAGUCGGCUCAGCCCUCUGGGGUUCUGCUUCAAUUUCUACCUGCAGAACCUUUGACAUGUCGGAUGCAGCCUGUCUCGCAUUCUUUGCAACGAGGGCGGUGUAACGGGCAGUUUCAGGCAUCUUCAUGCGCCAGUAGUAAGUCAUUGCAGCUGGGAUUGCUCCUACUAUCACAAUAAUCCUCCACAGAUAGUCCGCUUGUGGAACGGUUGAGGCAAGUGCAUUGACCUUAUAUGUUGGAGCAUCAAAAUUGGCAUUAAACGCGGCCGAACAGAUAAUAGCAAAUAUCCCACCAGCUAAAAUUCCAAACCCCUGCAUGGCAAAGACCGCGGCAAUGAAAGCUCCCCGAGUCUUCUUGUUAGCAUACUCAGACAUGAUUGUGGCAGAAAGAGGGUAGUCACCGCCAGUGGCGGAUCCACAGUGGGGUCGUCGGGGUCGCACGACCCCUUGGAAACCAUGGAAACAACCUUGAAGCUCCCAUAUGCGACCUCUUGGAGCUGGGGUCGUCGGAGUCGGAGGCACGCCAACUGUUCGACAAAAGCCCUGAACGAAAACUGGGCAGGAAGAGGAAGAAGAAGCAGCCCAGUCAAAUGAGCUUGGUUGUGUGCUUGGUUGCAUGCCUGUUUUUGUCAAGUGAAUGAUAUUUAUACAUGCUACUUUUUAUAACUCUAUCCAGUUUAAUUGGUCUUUCUGAUAAAGAAAUGAUAGGGGUUGGAGGAGUGCUAUAUGAGAACGAGAACAUUAAGAAGAUACGGAAAUUAAUUUGAAACAUCAAGCUGUCAGGGAAAGCAAAAAUUUGGAUACGCCAGUAACAAGACAAUAAAAGAGGAAGUUUAAGUGAAACUUACUUGCAUGAAUCCACAUAAACGAAUUAUGAUGUGAUUUAUGCCAGAAUCUUGGGUCAGUCCCUAUACUUUAUUAUUGUUCCAUGCACAGAUUAAUUCGACACUGCACCAAACGCCCGACUAAUGGAGUUAGUACUAUCCGACGACUAUUUAUUUUAUCCGACUGAAAUAGUCAAUACAGUCCGAAGUACCAAACGAGGCUAAAAAAAAUUUCGCGCUGCGCGCGCUAUGACCCCAUAAACAUUUUUUCCUGGAUCCGCCACUGGUCACCGCCAAUACCAAACCCUAGCCAGAACCGGAAGAAACAAAGCGUUGACAUAACGGUUUUUGGGUUAUGCUCAUAUGAGAGACCUGAAGCAAUAGAACAUAUGACCAUAAGCAUAAGAGUCAUUCCAUAAACUCUCUUCCUUCCCAUCUUGUCACCAAGCCAGCCAAAGAAGCGCUGGCCUGCUAAGGUUCCACAAAGCGCCACACCAUUUACGGCGGCUGACACAUUCGGAGGCAAUGUCCCGGGCUUCUCUGCGCCUUCAACGUGGUAGUAUAUGCGGCCGAGCAACUUGGUCACCAUAGAAAUGCAGAAGAGAUCAUAUGCAUCUGUGAAGAAUCCCAUUCCAGCAAUGAUAAUUGCAGUGAAAUGGUACCAUUGUGUUUUUGCUACAUCAAGUGCAUUGAGAACCUGUAAUUGCUCAUUAGCCAUGGCUAAGCUAGCUUUUACAAAUUCUCUCUCUCUUCUCUUUCUUUCUCACCAGCUUUUUUUUUUAUCUGCACAAUUUGAAGAGUGAGAAAAUGAAAAAAAUAUUUAUCGUGCGGAAGCGGCAAGUACAACGUAAAAUAUUCGAACAAUAAUAUAGCAACACAACAUUAACAGUUGGUCAUACGUUGAAAAUUAAAUUUUGCCUCACCUAGAAUUCCAGGUUCAACCAAUUCACUUUAUAAUUUCUGACUUUUCAAAAUUUUUUGUCACUAAUUUAUCACAUCACAACAUUAACUAGAGAAAAAGAAUUCUUAUAAAGGAUACUAUAAUGAAAUGCUAUGGAGACUUUUUCAAAAAUAGGAUUCUUCAUGUACUAUCUUUCCUUUUAUGUUUUUGGCAUAAAACUUUAUAUGUUGUUACAAAAAUUGAUGUUAAAUUGAAAAGUGACAAAAAAUUCAUGAAGAGUUAACACUUUAAGAGAGUUUUUUUAAGUAUUUCUCUAACUAAUUACACAGUCCAAAGAAAUUUUAUUUGCCACCCCCCAAAAAAAGGGACCAUUUUAUUUGAGCAUGAAAAAGUGAAAUGAUCUUCUGAAACUAGCAAAACUUCCAUGACUACUGGAAAAGUGGAGGAAAAGACAAAUAAUGAACUCUGCCUCAUUCUACCACUGAAGAGGUUUUUGUUUUUUUGGCCAGAUUUCUAAGUGAGAAAAGCUCUGGUGGGCAUUUGGACAACGUCGCCUGUCGUACUUUGCUUUCAAUUUCAUAUUAAUUUCACUCGGCGCGAGAGUUGUCGUACACAAAUUUUUGAAGCUUGAACUAGGAAAAUCACGUUCAAACUGCCCCACACAAGGGACAAGGAUUGUCUACUCUCCAUUUUCGGUGUCCUUUCUGUGCCCUCUUGUUUGUGUGGUCACGGUUAAGCUACAUCAACAUUUUAUAUUACUAUUCAUUUUUGUCUUAUUAUAACUAUAAAAAUAAUAUAAAAUGUUAACGUGACUUAACCGUGACCAUACAAAACAGGAGGGCACGAAAAGAGCAACGGAAGUGGAGAGCAGACAAUCCUUGUCCCUACGCAAGUAGACAAACACAUAACCUACUGAGGAUUUAAUAGAAGUCUCAAAGUAUCUACCAAACCAUUUAAAACCCCACUCACUUCACACUUUACACUUUACACUAUGCACUUUGAGCUUGCAACUUGCAUGCAUGGAGAGAUCAGCGGACUUAAUUACAAGAUCAACAACAAUGGAAGCAAAAAUUAAGCAUAAACAAAGAUGUUUAAUAUCUAAUUAGAUAAAUUAAUUGAUUUAAUUUGCAGACUAACCUGUUGGGAGCGAGCGAGAGGGAGAUGAAGAAAUUUGACGGUGAGACAAGGAAAAUGAAGGGAUGCGAAUAUUUAUAGGCAACGGCAGCAGCCUCACACGAAGGAAUUUCCACCGGCAUUUUCCAUUUUCUCCCCCGCGUCCGUUUUUAUUUUUUCAGUCAACCGUCGCACCAUGUUUCAAGUCUCACCUUGCCCACCUUCCCCGUCUUGCUCGACGAUUUCGACACGUGGUCCCACUCUCUUUAUUUAUUUACUUCCUUUAUUCUUUCAUGAGCUGAACACAUUGAGAUAUUGGCUACCAGUGCAAGUUGUUUUUAAAUCGAUUUACAGUCUUAGUUGCAUGCAAAUUGCCCCUCCUAAAAUUGUUAUCCAACAAGAAGUCACACUCUGUGACUAAAAUAGAAUAGUCUACGACUCAAAGCGUAUGGAAUGAAUCGGUUGUUAAGACUUUUGAACGUUCCAUUGUCAUUUUCAUGAGCCCCCCUAAGAAGGAAUAAAUUGGAAGACUCUUUUUAAUACUAUUUUUCACUCUUAAUAUUUUUUAUCGUAUCCAUUUUAUUUGUGUUCAUUUAAUCUAGCAGAGUGUUUUUGUUAUUGAAAUAACAUAAAUAAAUAUUAUGAAAAUAGUAAGGUCCGAGAAAUUUUACUACUGGUAGAUUGUCAUGAUGGUUAAAUACAUUAUUUUUUAAAUGUGUCAAAGUUAAUAUCUUUUGCCUUUUUCAAUUUACUUUUUAGUAGUAUUCAUUUUUACUUGUAAGUGAGAUGCCUUUGAUUCGAAUAUCGUAAAUAACAAGUUUAAUACCAAUUUAUUUUCUUGCUACUUAAUGAAAAUAUAUCAUUCUGUAAGAUAAUAAAGUAGGAAAAUUAUUUGUAAUACAUGAAUAUAAAAAUAAAAGGGUCAAAAAAAAAAAUUUAGUAAGUGAUACGGUUGUGGGGAAGUUUCUGAUCACAUACUAGGAAUCAAAUAUUGGUCCCAAUUAGUGCGAAAUCUUUGAAUUCUUUUACUAAUACAGUCCAAAUUUCAACAUCUCCCUUGUUUGAGAGAAAACGGCAAACCUUUACCUUGAAGGCUUGAACGUUUUGAAAGGUUCUACUUUUUGGGGUGUGCCAGUUAUCAAUCAUAGUCCUCAUCCUAGAUGUCAAGAUUUUGAACCAAAAAAAAAAAAAAAAAAAAGGGAAAGAAUCCUAGAUGUUAAGAUUAAGAUGUUUGUGGUCAUGGACACUAUUGUUUUUUUUUUUUCUUUUUUGGUAGCAAAAAUAUGAUGAAGUGAUUUUUUUUUUCAAAAAGUAAUCCGCGUAUAUUUUUGCUCCUGUAUAAUUUUCAUUUUCAAUCUUGGUGAAUUUGUAUCUAUAAAACAAUUAAACACAUUUAAUCAAAGAUCAAAAUCAUGCACCAAUGGAGUGGAGGGGAGGGGUUUGGCUAAGGUUAUUUCCAACUGAAGGGUCCAGAGGACCAGAUGGUCGAAAAUAGCCUGAAAUCGUCUCCAACCGAGGGCUAGGUCAGAGGGCUCGUGGAAUCUGAGAGGGCCCCAUAGAAUCUGAAAGGGCCAAAGGGUUGGAGGGCUGGCUGCAUGCCUGAGGCUAGCCAGAAAAAACAUUAAUUCUGUCGGUUAUAACCAAUAGGAAUGCUUAAGUUAAAAUUCAAAUGCAACGGCUAUUUGACGUCAGCUAGUCGUUGCCGUUGCCUUUGAUUUUUUAUUUUUUAUUUUUAUAGUUUUAUUAUUUUUUUUAUUUAGAAAAUUUUUCCUAUAACUUCUAUUUUUCAUUUUUUUAAUUUUAUUUUUUUCCUAUAACUUUUAUUUUAUGAAAAAUUUCAGUUUUUCCUAUAACUUCUAUUUCACAAAAUUUGUUUCAUUUUAUUUUAAAUUCUAUUUUUUUUUUCUAUAACUUCUAUUUCACAAAAUUUGUUUCAUAUAUUUUUUUAAAUUAUAUUUUCUUUUCCUAUAACUUCUAUUUCACAAAAUUUGUUUCAUAUUUUUUUUUAAAUUAUAUAUUUUUUCCUUUAACUUCCUAAGCCAUUAUAAAACAUUAAAUUAAAUUAAGUAACAUGAACCAACAUUAAACAAUAUAAAACAACAUUAAAUAACAUUAACCAACAUACAAAUUAUACAACAUAAAAAAAACAUUUAACAACAUGAAACUUAAACAACAUUUUUAAAAACAUUUAACAACAUAAAACUUAAACGCCUACUCCAUGCUUCUUUUGGCCUAAAGAUGUGCAAUAAGAUCUUGUUGUAGGUACUUGUUUGUGGCAUGAGAACGUAUCAUUCUAUAGCUCCUGAUGUACUCAUUUAUAGAGAUACUACCAGCUCUUGGAUUGAAAGGCAAAUUAAGCCCAUCAUAUAUUUUUGCACAAGCCCUUCUUGACCUAUUUGGAUAUUCUUGGUCGUUAUCAGACUCUCCGUCAAUAUACCCAUCUCGCUUAUCCUUCACUAUCAUAUUGUGUAAUAUGAUGCAAGACAUCAUGAUGGAGUCCAAAUUUUCUCGACUCCAUCCUCUUGUCGAUUUGUUGAUGAUCUUCCACCGUGCUUGUAGAAUACCGAAAGCUCUCUCAACAUCUUUCCGGUAUGCCUCUUGGUGACUUUUCUAUGUCAUUCCUAGGGUUUGGAAUUGCUUGGACAAGUGUUGCCCACUUUGGGUAGAUGUCAUCUGCCAAGUAAUACCCCAUAUUGUAUUGACGGCUGUUGAUAUAGUAGUCAAAUUGAGGUGCUUUACCUUCCGUCAAGUUAUUGAAGAUGGGGUGAACUCCCAAGAAUUGUAAUGUCAUUUUGGGAUCCAAGGACUUCAAAGAAAACAUGCUAGAUCCAUGUGUCAUAUGAGGCAACCGCCUCUAACACAAAAGUUGGCUUUCUCGACCUUCCGCUAAAACCUCAUUGCCAUUUGGUGGGACAGUUCUUCCAAUCCCAAUGCAUGCAGUUUAAUGACCUAUCAUGCCCUGAAACCUACGGUCUUCAACUUUGUGAAUGAGCCGAUUUAGAUCUUCUAGAUUUGGCUCGCGGAGUUACUCGUCUUUGUAAACUUGAACAAUUGUGUCACAAAAUCAUUCAAAAGUAUCACGGCAUGUAGACUUAGACAUACCAUGGGUUUCAUCCAUUGAAUCAACUGGGGAGCCAUAGGCCAUCAUUCAGAGUGCAACAAUAAACGCUCGAAGACAUGAUGCCUCAUCCGGAAGCGAUGUCUGAAAUCCUCUUCUGUGUACACCGAGUUGGGGUUGAAGUAGUUGUUCAUCAGAUUAGCAUCCGCUUUUUGUGGUUUGUAAGAGCGACCAGCAACAAAGCCACCCUAUUAAGGUUGUUCCUCAUUUGGUUGACACACCAUGGCUGCUGCUCUGUUUUGUUUGUUGUGCCUUACUUGUACUUCUUCAUCAGACUCCUCAUGUUCUCGUCUCAUUUGCGCCCAUUUUGCUUCCAAUUUGGAAUUGAAUGAGGAACCUCAAUUGGAAUCCGAAGAGGAUCCAAAGUUGGAAUUCAUUGCAAACUUGAAUUGAAAAAGAUUGAAUUCAAAGUUGUGUGAAUUAUAGCUCAAUAUCCACCCUAUUUAUAGCAAAAAAAAUUCAAAUCCAAUGGCUAGCUGACGUCAGCAUGAUGUCAGUUACCAACGGCUAGCUGGCCGUUGGAUUUGAAUUUAAGUUGUAGUUUUUAAAUAAUAAAUUAUGUUUGGCCCUAUGGCCUUUUGGCCCUCGGUUGGAGACAAUUUUUUGUGACAGGGCUAAAACGAGCCUUAUGGCCCUUUGGCUCUCAGUUGGAGACGGAGGCAAAUAUGGCCCUGUACUGUUCAUUAAAAUAUUAAUAUCUUGGAAGGCCAGAUGGCUAAAACGAGCCAUUUGGCUAGCCCUCGGUUAGAGAUGCCCUAAUUUACAAUGCCUAAGUGAAUUUCUUUGAAAAAAAAAUGUUUAAGGCUUAGUUGCAUAGCAAAAUCUUACCAUAAAUUGGUUUAGGACGGGGUACUUAUAGGAGCUAGAGUCGGUCCCAUGUGUAGGGUUUUUCAUGCCAUGUGUCAAUAUUUAGUUGGCCAAGUUGUGUCAUUCGUAGGACGGAGAAGAAAAUUAUCCUAAAGAUAUUAUUUAAUUAAUAAUAUUAUCUCGUAAAAUCCUUGAUUAGAUUCGGUUGUGAUUCCUUACUUGAUUAAGUUGGUCUUCAAUAAGGAAAGUUUAAAGGUAUGAAUUAGUUAUUAAUCUUAUCUUUAAUUCCUUUAACUUUUCUCCUUGCCAUGAGCAUGAGAGCUUGAAGAAGUUGCGGUCAGCAACUUAAGUCUUCUUAAUGGUUGAACUACGCAUGGAACAAAUGUGAGCCUCGCUAAUUUAAUGAGGGUUUCGUUGUCACUUGUGGGUAAAAGUUCAAGUGUCAGAUCCAAGAUUUUCUAAAUUAUUUUUGGCUCCACAAAUGCCUCACACAUGUUGUGCUGCGUGUAAGAGGUGCAUGAGGUGUAGAAAUCCAAGUCGAUAGGCUUGCUCGAUAGGCUUGCCAGAAACGAGUCCUUGACUACAUAGGAUUGUGAGAUCUAACUUGUAAUGAACGUUUUAUGGGAUAUGGGGUCUAACUACCUAUAAAAUCUAUUUAACUCUACUUAAGUGGAUGAUUAAAUAAACCUAGAGAACAAUUAUUUUCCAAACAAGAAAGAAAAAAAACUGGAGGAAAUUAUGCCUCAUCCCCUAGUUUUCUUCUUUACUUGCCCCGCAAAGGGUUGAUUGUCUUCGUCGUUGUUGUUGCGCCUCAAGGUAAAGAAAAUAAAAUAUUUCUUCUUCUUACUACUGCCACAGGACAGCUUGGGACGAGUGGAAUGAGGCCCAUGUGCGUGACAUGGUAAAAAUGGCUGCUUAAAGAUAUGUGUAGCUCGACUGAAGCCAAGGAAUGGGGUCGCAAGGGUAGCUGGAGCCACUAGCCAACGGCUAGUGUAGGCCAAAUUGCAAGGGGAAAAAGAAGCGGGUCGUUGGGCCCGUGAUGCUUAACCUAGUGUGGCGUGGAAGGUUGGACCCCGAUGGGUUGCGCAAGCAUGGUUGUUGGACUUAACAGGAAUUAGUGGAUAUGGUAUGGUGCUAAGGCGUUAGGCUCAUGUGGCUCGAGAGAUAGAAUGGAGGCGCUAGGCUAGGCGUGGUGCAUUAGGCUUGGCCUGGUACCAUGUGAGGAUGGACCACAAAGUUUAUUUGGAGAAGAGGCUGGCGCAAGUGCAGGAUAGGCCUACCAUUUAAGCUUUACAGCAACUAUUAAGGCUUGAGUGCCAAUAGGUUGCAUGUGGUAGAGAUAACAUCGUAGUUGGAGCCAUUAGAAGGCGUCGAUGUAACUAAGAGCUGUGGUGCGAGAGUCAUUGAGGCUAGAAGCCACAUAGCUGAAUUGGUAUGGCUGGGAGAAAUAAAGCAAUAGUAGACGUUAUGGUGAGUCGCAUAGUAGAAGUAAAUGUAAUUGGGGCAGCAAGCGAGGCGCAUGACUUUAUUGGUAGGUUAGCCUACUUGCUUGAUCUUUAAUUGAGAAGAAACCAAAGACUUCUUUUGUUGCUCGUGAAAGUUCUGCUGCUUGGGGAAAACUUGUUAUCAAGCAGUCUCAUUCAAUGGAUGAAAGAAAACUGAUGAGCCUGUGAAAUAUGUCACUUCGAAAGAGGUUAAAUUCUUGUCCUAGAAGAUCGCUCAACGUAAGAGUUCUUUGCUGCUACUAAAGUCAAGGUCCAAAGAUAGAGUGAAGCGUCCAUCUGUGGCUAAGUCUGGAUCGGCUUUUAAAAGGGUCACCACUAUUCGAAGUGAGGAGGAAAGUUUGUCACUUGAGAAAAUGGAUCAAUCGCUAAAUAGGCAUCAAAGCCUGCUCCUUCUAUUGUUCCGCGUCUGUGAUGCCUGCUAGGAAAGGGGAAUGAUUAUGCAUACUAUAUGUUUAUCUUUAUUAUUACAUGACUACAACUACGAUCUGAUAUAAGACAUACUAUGAACAGUGAAAAUUAACUAGCCACUAUGCCUUAAGAGAAAAUGUGCAAAACUACCUAAACCCUCAAAACAAAUUCAACUUUUACAUUGAGAAACAAAAAACGGUUGAUGAUUCUCUUAUACCUUAUAUACUCAAUACCCUUUAGUCACAGCUGCGGAGAGAAACAUGAGUACCCUAAUUUUGAUAAUACACGCGACACCGCAUAUGACAGUUUCAAACACAAGACCUCAGGUUCAAAGAUAAACCCUGACGCUUUACGUACACACAUGUUAUGCAUGGAAAAUGCACACUUUAUCUGGCAUCAUUUGUAAAAGCCAGGACCAUUUGCCCUGCUAAUCUGCCAACAAGCGUCAUGCCAUUGACAGCUACUGACACAUUUGGAGGCAAUGUGCCUGAUUUUGGUGAUCAUUCAACUGGUAAUAUAUGCGGCCAAGCAAUUUGGUGACAAGGGAAAUGCAGAAGAGAUAGUACGCAUCGGUGAAGAAUCCCAUUCUGGCGAUUACAAUUGCGGUGAAAUGGUACCAUUGUGUUUUUGCAGUGUCAAGUGCACUGAGCACGUGCAGUUGUUCCUUGGCCAUGGAUUUAGCUUUGCUUGGUUUGAUCUCUCUCUUGCAAACUCUAUUUCUCUGGUUCAUCAAUAUGCAAGAACACAACGGUAAGAUUACAUUUACAUAACAAUGUAUGAAUAAAGAAUGAUUUAAAUGUGAAUUUGAUUGAUAUAAACACAGAAUAUUAAAACACAAGAGUUUCACAUUUCUUGAAGAAACUUAAAAUAAGUUGGAAAAAUUCACAUAGAGAUGAUAUAACUAAUUGUUCCCAGAAACCAUACGUGCAAGACGUUCAUUCUUUAGUAAACAAUGGAUAUGCAUCGAUACUGCUGAAAAUCUGUCAACAACAUGUAUGUACAUUUGGUUACAGACAAUGAUAUUAUUGAACUUUUUAGUUUCAACUAUUUGUAUAAUUCAUCAUAAGAAACUAAGUACAAGGGAGAAGCUCUUAUAGAGAGCUUGAGAGUGACUUAAAGGCUAAAAAGACAAAGCCUAAUAAUAGGCCAUAUAAAGAACCAAAAGGAAUAAGCUAGCUAACGUGCAACAAAUGUAUAAUUACAAGUUUCAAGGGAGACAUAAGACCAUGAAUUAAGGAUUCAAAUUAAGGAACAAAGGAAAAGUGGUGGUACAUCACUUCCAUCACGUCAAGUACAUCACUCACUUCCAUCACAUCAAGUACACCACUCACUUCCAUCACGUCAAGUACAUCACUUCCAAUACUCCCCCUCAAGCUGGAUCAAGAGGGUUAAUUGAUCCAAGCUUGCACAACAACCGUUGAAAUUGGGUAGAGUCUAGAGUUUUUGUGAAGAGAUCAGCAAGUUGAUCAUGGCUUCUAGUGUAUACAGUGUUGAUGACAUUGGAUUGAACUUGUGUACGAAUGUAAUGACAAUCAACUUCAAUGUGCUUUAUCAUUUCAUGAAAUACGAGAUUAAAAGCAAUAUGCAUUGCGGCCCGGUUGUCACAAAACAACGACAUUGGUUCUUUGCUGGUGAAGCCAAGAUCAAAUAGAAGACUCUUCAACCAUAUAAGUUCACAAGCUGCUGCUGCUAUAGCCCUAUAUUUAGUUUCAGCACUGGAUCUUGCAACCACAGUUUGUUUCUUACUUUUCUAGGUGACCAGAUUACCUUCAACAAAAGUACAAAAACCUAUGGUGGACUUUCGAUCAAGGGCAUUACCAACUCAAUCAGCAUCAAUGUAGGCCAUGAUGUGAGUGGACCCAUUUUUCUUCAUGAGUAUGCCUCUACUGACCGAACCUUUGAGAUAUCUAAGUAUUCUCUUGACAAUUUCCCAAUGAACCGAUGUAGAAGAGUGCAUAAACUGGCUGACAAGGCUCACUGAGUAAGCAAUGUCAAGUCGAGUAAUCGUGAGGUGUAAAUAAGUUUUCCAACCAUACGCUGAUAAAAACUAGGAUUAGAGAGGCUCACCUUUGGCAUCCAACUGAAGUUUGCUAACAAGGGGAGUGCGAGCAAGUUUACACUCAAGCAUGUGUGCUUCAUCAAGAAAAUCAACUACAUACUUUCUUUGAUUUAAGAAUAACCCUUUGGAAGAAAUGGCCACCUCAAUGCCAAGAAAGUAUUUCAAGACUUCUAAGUCUUUAAUGGCAAAAUGUUAGUGUAGGGAGCACUUAAGAGCAUUGAUUUCCUUCACACUGUCCCCUGUAAUUAUAAGAUCAUCAAUAUAUAUAAGCACAACGAGCUUGCCUAGGACACCAAUGCGAACAAAUAAGGAGGAGUCAGCAUGACUUCUUUUGAACCCUGUAACUUCAAGAACUGAGCUCAGUUUGGAAUACCAAGCUCGAGGGGAUUGUUUGAGUCCAUAUAUAGCCUUAUGGAGCUUGCAAACCUUGUUAAGUUUACCUGCUUGUAAGUGUCCAAGAGGUAGCUUCAUGCAUACAUCUUCUUCAAGAUCACCAUGGAGGAAAACAUUUUUUACAUCCAUUUUGUUGAUGCACAAAAUUGGAGGUCUUGGAACAACGUAAAUCCGACCAUGAAUCUACAAGAAAGUAAAUAACAUAAGAUGUAUCGUGGUUCACCCCCAAUAUUUGGGCUACGUCCACACUAAUAUUGUAUUUCUCUAUUUGUGAGAGGAUUAUGAGGGAGAGAGAGCUUGAGAGCUUUGCUCUGAAUAUGAGAGGCUUCAGGAUUGUGAGGGUGAGGAUGUCAUUUUAUAGAAUAAGGGCUUAUCCCCCUUUUACAUAUUUGCCGAUCCAUUUAUUACAUAAUUACAUUUGAGUCCCUCGAGUAUUUAUACGAGGUCUAAAUACGGAAGCCCUAAGUAUGGUACAAACAGUAGUCCUCCAAGUCUUCAGUUAAGAGAGUCUUUUGGCUAGAAACUUGAAAUUCAGUCCAUGUGUGAGCCGAAGUAACUAGAUGUCGUUUAGGACUGAUACUCGAUAUGAGGCGGUGCUCAAUUUGAAAUGAUUCUCAACUAGAAGUAGCACAUGUUGCGAGACUGCUCGGUUUGUGGCUUAUGUUGCCUUGGUUGGCUUGGCUUGUGGCAUUGAAGGUGAGAGAGUUUCCUUUUAUAGAAUAAGGGCUCCUCACUUCAAUACAUAAGUGAUGGGUUAGGAGUGAUGCUCGUGGCGAAGCGGUUGUGACACGCCCCGACCCUGAUAUUUCCCGAAUACCAGGACCGACACGUGCUAGCCGACACCCGGGGGUGACGAAAGCCAUUAAUUGAUACAAAAGCUAAGAAUAAGAAAUAAAUAAAGGUUAGAAAUUUGAAAUACAAUGAACUAACAAUUUAGGAACGUGUUCAGAGCAUACAACUAAACCUAGUCACUAACAAGAAUUAAGAUAAGAUUGAAUGAACAAAGGAGUGGGUCCUACCCCGAGAGGACUCGAAGAUGCUGCUGCGGAAGUGCCUUGACGCUGGGAUUAGGUGCCUUGAUUCUAAGUCCUGAAUGGGGGCGCAAAACAAAGGUCAGUGGACCAAGUUUAUAUAUAAUAUAAUAAUAAAACAGUUGUCAAGAUACUAACCCCCACAGUUAUAUAAUGAAAACUACUAGCAUAAUAAAUGAUGGAUUUAAUAAAAAUCCUAGCAUGCCAAAAAUAUCUCAAAAGCCAUUUCUCGCGGAAAAACAUCGCGGAAAUCAAAAUAUCAAACGUCUCAUAAAUCGUCUCGUAAACGCGGUGUGCUGCUAGUAAGAUCACCGAAUAAAUAUAACUCCCGGCCCAAUGCCUGCACCUAAGUCUCUGCGCCCGUAGCCAGAGAUAAUUACCACCCGGCCCAAUGCCUCUUCAUGUCCCUCAGCCCGUAGCUAGGGAUUAUUUCUCCCGGCCUAAAUGCCAACACCAGAUCCUCGCCCCAGGCGGCAUAGUGUCCACUAGGUACGCACAAAAUGUUACGCCUCUCGUAAAUACCACUUCAUAGCGUAGGUUACCGAUCAUCGUCUACACCAUAAAGAGGGGUUCAAAAUCAUGUUCUAGCAUCCUAUCGUCAUUUAUCAGAUAGUCUACCAGUUCAUGGUUUUAAUAGAAAAUACGAUAUAUUAAAAUAUAGCUCAAUAUAGGCUAAUAAAUAAUUCCUCACCAAAAACGAGACGAUAAUCAAUAUAUUAAAUCAUCAGGCUUCACAUAAAUCAAAUCAUAAAUUCGUAGGCAUGCUAAUCAUUUAUGCAAUUAAAUUAUCAAAUCAUGUAAUUUUAGAAGGGGUCAACUCACAGUACUUAGUUGCCAAAAGCUGCGCCACCAGUGAAGACGGAAACAUCACAAUAAUUGUCCCUAAGCACAUUAAAGAGUCCAAUAAAUAAAACUAUAUAAUAGAAAUUGAAUUUGGGAAAACGGACAUUGGAAAUGGAUUCAGAGCGUUGAAUUACCCUAAGAAGGGUCCCGGACGAAAACCCGAAAAGUCAACCUUAAAGUCAACGUUGACUGGAGGUCAACGGUCAAACUAGGUCAAACGAGUUUUAGGCUUGAAUCCGGAUUUAGGGUUUAGGUUAAAUAAAAUAGGGGAUUUGGGAUUGGAUGGGUUUAGGGUUUUAAAGGAUUUUAGGAACCUAGGGUUUUUGGGUUAAAAGGGUAUUAGGGUGAGAAUGGGUGGUUUGGGCUCAAGCCCAAACCCAUACAACUAACACACACACACCUAAUACACACACACACAAAGCCCGGCCCUAAGGCCUCACAAAAGAAAACAGGGCUUUAAGCCCCUUCAUUUAAAUCCGGCCCAAGGCCCUUAGGUUUUAAAAACACAUAACUAAAAAUAAAAAGGAUGUGGGCUGGGGUACUGGGUUGGUCCAAAACGGGCUAAGGCCCGUUGGGUUUUCUAAAGGGCCUGAGAGGCCUGGUUUUGCCGAAGAAGAAGGCCGGAGAUUCGGUCGGAAAACCACCCAACUUUAAACGGCCAUAACUUUAUCACUACUCAAUGAAAUCAAGCGAGACAAAAAUAAAAGUUGUAGCCCUGGAAGAGACGAAGAGAAUGAUACCUCACACGACAUCAAACUCGCCGUGGUGUAGCCGGAAAAUGCCUCGAAAUCCGUCGGACUCGCCGGAAACUGGGUAAGAUUCAAAUGAGUAUAACUUCUUUAAUACUCAACGAAAUUGAGUGAAACAAAAAGGAAAGUUGUAGUACUCAGGGAGACGAAGAGAUUGAUACCUUGCACGCCGGCCAACUCGCCGUGGUUUGGCCGGAAAUGGCCUCGAAAGGGGUUGUUCUCGCCGGAGCUCGUGUACGGGGCUUCAUGGUUUGACUUUCAAGAUGCCAAUACUAUGGUUGAGUUCGUAGCGACGAGAUAAAGACGAUGGUGAUGUUUGUUGGUAAGAAAACCCUCGGAUGGGUUGAGAUAGAGAGGGCCGAGAGAGUGAGGGAGAGUUGCGGGAGAGGUGAUGAAAAAGAGAGAACUGAGAGAAGAGAGACCGGAAAACAAAAAAAUAAAACAAGGUGGGCCCCACGGGCUCACCAAUUAAGGUUUUAAAACAAUUUUAAAAUAUAAAAGAGGUUGGGGUGUUUCAGGUUGCUUAGCUGGCGGCGAUACUCUCUAAUGAAAGUGAAGGAAUCCCUUUUAUAAAAUAAAGGCUUGUUCCUCAGUACAUGAAUAAUGGGUUAGAGUUGAUGCUCUCUAAUGAUGGUAAUGGAGUGAUGCUCAAGGCGAAGCGGUUACUCAGCAGGCGGCGAUGCUCUCUAAUGAUGGUGAGGGAGUCCCUUUUAUAGAAUAAGGGCUCGUUCCUCAAUACAUAGGUAAUGGGUGCUUUCUAAUGAAAGUGAGGAAGUCCCUUUUAUAUAAUAAGGGCUCGCUCCUCAAUACAUAAAUAAUGAGCUAAGUCCCUCAAGUAUUUUUCAUGAGGCCCAGUUGAGGCCCAAUAUAUGGUACAUAAUGUAGUCCCCCAAGUCUUCAGUCAAUAGAGUCUGUUGGCUGGAGACUUCAAAUUGAAUCCAUGUAUGGGCCGAAAUGGUGGUUGUUCGGAGGCGGUAUUUGUAUACCUUGUACUGAAGCUUUGCAAGUGAAGGUUUGAAGCUAGAGAUUUUGUAAAAUAAGCUUUUGAAGUUGGAACUCUCAAAGCUGGAACUCUGUAAAUGAAGCUUUUGAAGCUGAUUGACAUGAGUGAUGCUCAUGAAUGUUUAUGUUGAUUGACAUAAGUGAUGCUCAUGGAUGUUGGCAUGAGUGAUGCUUAUGAAUGUUGACAUGAGUGAUGCUCAUGAAUGUUGACAUGAAUGAUGCUCAUGAAUGUUUAUGUAUGAUUGACAUGAGUAAUGCUCAUAAAGGUUUAUGUAUGAUUGACAUGAGUGAUGCUCAUGUAUAAUUUUGAAGUACUGGACGUACUUUUGAUCACCUAGUGGGUGAUAAUAGUGGCAGGCUGCCGAAGAAUUUUUGGAGUACUGGACGUACUUUUAAUCACCUGGUUGGUGAUAAUAGCGGUAGUGUGCCGAAUAAUUUUGGAGUACUGGGUGUACUUUUGAUCACAUGGUUGGUGAUAAUAGCGGCAUGGUGCCGAAUAAUUUUGGAGAACUUGGCGUACUUUUGAUCACCUGGUUGAUGAUAAAGCGGCAGGCUGCCGAAUAAAUUUGAAGCCGUAGGGCCUGGCUCUUUUGGGCAUAGGGGCCUUUGCCCUCCACAUAACAUUCCAACCCAUUAUUUUGGGCUUGCCUUUUUUUUUAACUCUCUGAUGGGGUUUAUACAGAUGUCUCCGAAAGAUAAGAAAAAUAAAUCACAUCAUUCAAAAAUAAAUCCGACCCUCAGUUCAAUGGGUCAUGCCCAUAAUUCCCUUUUCUGCAUGUCAUCACCACUACACUUAUGUCUUUUUUUUUUAAUCUUCUUUUGCUUUCUGCUUUUACUUUCUGCUUUUCUUUCUGCUUUUCUUGAUCUCUCCGCUCCUUCUCUGUCCACCCAUGUUGCUUUGUAAGGUAUCUUUUGCUUGCAAACCACUUGCUUUUCUUGGACAGCCUGGUCGUGCCCAUCCAUUCUCACUCAUUCUUUUUCUUUUUCUUUUGCUUUUUUCCUUUUGCUUUCGUUUUUAUUUACCACUCCAUUUCCAGGCAUAAUGGGUCCAUUUUUCAAAGCAUGCUCCUUUGCAGAUUUGCAUGCUUGCUUUAUAGCAAACACACCCAUAGCUAACUUUUCCAUAUGGGUGGUCGAUAAAAGCCAUCCAUGUGGGUGGUUGAUUAAACUCUUCAGACUCACCAGAUUAAAUUAAUGACAGCUGAUAACAUUACAACAAACACAGCUGGCAGUAUACAACAUAUUAUGAAAGGAAAUGAGAUCACAUUCAUGCCAGAAGGAUGUUGAUGAGGUCACCCGCCAUGUAAGAUCGAGCAUAUUCCUCAACAUGUCAAUAUCAAGGGAUUUCUAUCUUUAUGCACAUGAUAUCGUCUGUAUAAUUUCUCCAAAGUUGCAACAGAAUGCUGCAUUGCAUUUAGUUUCGUAUCCAUGAACAUUCUCUGAUAGUCAUCGCCAUACUCCUCAAUGAGUCGACCAAGAUGAAGACGCUGCAUGGCCGUUUAUGGUUGUAGUGGUGCAGAUUUUUUGUUUCUUCCCUAGACUAGUUUUCAAAUCGUCCUUUUUGAGAUCGCUGUCGUCGGCGAAAUCGAGCUUUGCAUCAGGGUCAUCGGAGGGCGGAGGGGGGACCUGGAGGGAAUCGCUCUCGACCAUUUGAGAAUUGCGAGACCGGAGGCUGAGCAAGUUAGGGUUGGAAACGAAGCCGAAGGACUUGUAGUUUUAGAUGGCGGAGCCUUCGGUGUCCCAUUAAGGGGCUAAGGCCAGCCCUUGCUGCUCCAGCAAGGCGCGGAGCUUCGGAAGGAGGCAGAAGGCGGGCUUGAAUACGUUGAGCUUCCUCUUCGGCAGCCCCACGAGCACCUUCGUCCGCGACUGCUUGUACUUUUUUCUUGACCUUCCCAUCUCUCUCUCUCUCUAGAGUAAAGAGAAAGUGGCGAAUGUCUGUGAAGAAACAAGAGUCAUAGAUGGUGUCGAAUUUGGAGCCAUUAUUGUUGUCUCUCUCUUCUCAUCUUCUUUCUUCUUUCUUGCUGUCUGAAGAGAAAACUGGAAUUUCUAGAAAGAGAAAGAUAGAAAUAGGAGAGCGAAAGAAAGUGUUUGGUGAGGAGGCUGUCUGCAGAGAGAGAGAAAGAAAGAGAAUGAACCAUUGGGUUUUCUCGGAAAGCUUUGGGUUUUUGGGUUUUUGCAGAUUCACGGCGGAGGUGAAAAAAGGAAAGAGAACCGACACAACUUUUCAUAUCGAUUCCCACAGACGGCGCCAAAUGUUAAUGCACAAAACCGGAGGUCUUAGAACAACGUAAAUCCGACCAUGAAUCUACAAGAAAGUAAACAACACAAGAUGUAUCGUGGUUCACCCCAAUGUUUGGGCUACAUCCACAUUGAUAUUGUAUUUCUCUAUUUGUGAGAGGAUUAUGAGGGAGAGAGAGCUUGAGAGCUUUGCUCUAAAUAUGAGAGGCUUCAAGGUUGUGAGGGUGAAGAGGUCAUUUUAUAGAAUAAGGGCUCCUCCCCUUUUACAUAUAUGCCCCUUCAUUUAUUACAUAAUUACAUUUGAGUCCUCCGAGUAUUUAUACAAGGUCUAAAUACGGAGGCCUUAAGUAUGGUACAAACACAUUUGAAACAAGGGCUACUCGUGAUUGAUUUCCAUUGAUAACAACACCCUCACUGUGUUCAUUUUGGCAACCGGGGUAAAAGUCUCCUUGUAAUCAAUACCGUAGGUUUAUGUGAAAUCACGGGCUACCAAUCGAGCCCUGUGUCUCUCAAUGGUACCGUUGGAAUUGAAUUUUAUCUUGUAUAUCCAUCUACUCCCGACAACCUUCUUGCCUUUGGGAAGAUCAACCAUAUUCCAAGUUUGAUUUUCAUCCAAUGCUUUGAGCUCUUCAUGCAUGGCUUUUUGCCACACAGGUGUACACACGGCUUCUUGAAAACUUCUUGGCUCAAGAUUGUUUGACAAUUGGUUUAGAAAUAAUGCACGGGAGGUUGACAAUUUUUGGUAAGUAAUAGCUUCAGAGAUAGGGUACCUUGCAGAGUACGUAACGUACUCUUGUAACCUUAACGGGGGAUGUCGAUCUCUAGCAGGGUUUCUUCUUGGUGCUACUACUGAUUAUGGAGUUGCAGCUUGUGGUUGUGGUGCUAGAGCACUGGGUACUUCCUCAUUGACCACUUCAUCAAUGUUGGAAUUAAUGAUCGGGAUUGGGAGGUUUGCAUGAAUUUCUCUAGGUAGGCAGUGGAAAGGUGUCUAUUAGACUCUCCCCCUGAGGAUUAUUCUCAGAAUCCUUGUGAAAGAAAGAAGUGACUUCAUCAAACCGAAUAUCUCUAGAGACAACAAGCUUCCCAGUAUGUGAGUUAUAACAUUUGUAUCCCUUUUGAGAACUAGAGUACCUCAUAAAUGCACAUUUCACAGCUCUAGGUUCUAGUUUAUUACGAUGAGUAGCUUGGAUGUGGACAUAACAAGUACAUCCAAAGAUCCUGAGAUGAGUCAAAUCGAUAGUUCUUCCUUUCAUGACUUCAAAAGGUGACUUAGCAUUCAACACACGAGUUGGAAAUCUGUUAAUGAUGUAGGUUGCAGUGAGAAGUGCUUGGGACCAGAAUCUUUUAGGAACUUGCAUCUGAAACAUAAGGGACCUUGUUUUCUCUAACAAAUCCCUAUUCUUUUGCUCGGCUACACCGUUUUGUUGUGGUGUACCAAUACAACUAGUUUGAUGCAAGAUGCCAUGAUUGCUUAAGUAAUUGGACAUGUUAUUGGAUGUAUACUCGGUGCCAUUAUCUGACCUUAAAGUAUAUAAUUUAGAGGCAAAUUGAUUGGUUAUUAGUUUGUGAAAGUCUUUGAAAGCUUCAAAAAAUCACCUUUAAACUUUAAAAGAUACAACCAGGUAACCCUAGAAUAAUCAUCAAUAAAAGUGACAUAAUACUUGUAUCCAUCGAAUCACUCAACACGAGAAGGUCCCCAAAUAUCUUAGUGGACAACUUCAAAAAGCUUACUGGUUUUAGACUGAGAGGAUACAAAAUACAGCCUAGUGUAUUUUGACAUUUGACAGAUCUCGCACUCAUGUGUGCUUUUACAAAAAUUUGGAAAUAACUUAGACAUCACUUGUUCUGAGGGAUGAGUGAGACGUUGGUGCCAAAGUUGGUACUCCUGGGCAUGACUUAGGUUGGCAAUGAGAUCCUUAACAAGAUUGAACUUCUUUAAGAGGUAGUAUAGACUACUUAAGAAGAACCCUUCACCAAUCUUCUUCUGAGUGACUCGAUCCUGAAACACAACGUUAUGAGGACAAAAUAUGGCAAGGCAGUCCAAAGUGUGUGUGAUUUUUCCUACGGAAAAAAGCUGGAAUGGAAAUGAAGAUACGUAAAGUGCAGUGGACUCUACAUCAUUACCCAUCAACCUAAUUUUUCCUUUUCCUAGAACAGGUUCCCUUUUACCAUUUGCUACAGAUACAUGAGUACGAUUAGAUAAUUUUUGAAACUCAUGUAGACAAGAUGUUUUAUUAGUUCUAUGAUCAGUGACACCUGAGUCUACAAUCCAAAAAUCAUAUGUGAGAUAUGCAUUGAGAGUAAUGGAGAGUGCACUGAUAAUACCUGGGAUAUUGUCGUGUGUUGUGGUAUCUGAACCUUCCAAGAAGUUAUCGAAUUUUCCAAGCAUGGCAGUGGAGUUUUCAGUGAUCAUCUUUUCAUUCUCAGUGGUCCUGUUCUUUCUUUGGAGAAAGGUAGCAAAUUCAUUAAUCAAGGAAAUCAGAUUUGAAGUGAAGUUUGCCAUCUCAUCAGCUGAACAUUUAGUUGCACGGAGGGCCUUUGAAGCAAACCCUUUCCCAUCUUUGAUCAUUUUCCCUUCCUUGUCAUACUUAGGUUUUAACUCAGGACGUAAGAUCCAACAUUUUUCCCAUAGAUGCCCCUUAGUGUUGCAAUAUAUGCACUUCCAGUCAGCCUUCUUCCCAUUAAAAACUCUUUCACCAGAGAUUUUGUGGUUGCUAGUGAAAACCCUAGCCUUAGAGCUAGACUUGGGCUCAAUAUGCAUUACCUUUCUUCGAGUUUCUUCCCUUUGAACUGCAUGACACACGCUGAUGAAUAAUGGUAAUUCUGGAGUCAUCAGCAAAUGACUACGAAGAUCUUCAUACUUAGCUCCCAAGCUUGCCAACGGUUGAAACACUUUAUCUUCAUCAGCCCUCUUCAAGAGCACAACGGAUUCGAUUUUGUGUGGACGUUAUAAAUCAAGCUUAUUCCAUAUAAAUUUCAUGUUUCCAAUGUGCUGAAUGAAGGAUUGGUCACCUUGCUUUAGGCCAGCAAGACUCUUCUUCAGUUCAAAUACACAGGUAUCAUUAUUUUGGCUGCCAUACAUUUCCUUGACAACUUCCCAGAGUAGGUGUGAAAAUCCUGAAUAGCUGAAUAGCUCUGACAACUUGGGCUCUAUCGAGUUGAGAAUCCAAGACAUUAUGAGCUGAUCAUUUGAAUGCCAUGCAUAAAAAGAGAGUGAGGUGGAUUCUGGAGGCUUGAUGGUUCCAUUUACGUACUCUAGCUUCGAUCUUCCUCCUAGGGCAAGAAAGACGGCUCAUGACCAAGGCAAAUAGUUGAACUUGUUCAACAAUACUGAGCACAGUCGUUGGUUUGGAUUGAUAUCACCGUGUAUCAUGUUGGUUGGUGUUGAGGUUGAGGAACUUGUAUCCUUAGAACUGAAUGGAUUGUCUUCUGCCAUCUCAACAAAUGAUGAACAGAAGGAAAAAUGAAACAAAAGAAAAACAACAGAGACAUGACCCUAUGGUUCUUGCUCUGAUACCAUAUUGAACUUUUUAGUUUCAACUAUUUGUAUAAUUCAUCAUAAGAAACCAAAUACAAGGGAGAAGCUCUUACAGAGAGCUUGAGAGUGACUUAAAGGCUAAAAAGGCAAAGCCUAAUAAUAGGCCAUAUAAAGAACAAAAAAGAAUAAGCUAGCUAACGUGCAGCAAAUGUAUAAUUACAAGUUUCAAGGGAUACAUAAGACCAUAAAUUAAGGAGCAAAUUAGAGCAACUCCAGCGUAGGAGCCCUCCCCCCAGGCAAUUCACUAUUCAAUCCACCCAGUGAACAGUAACUACCCUUAAUGAACAGUAACUGCCUUUUGCAUUUCUAGCGUGGGAGCCCUCUCCUUGGCAAUAGGUAAUAAAAUAUUUGUAUUUUAUUUAUUUAUAAAAUAAUACAAAAUAAUUUUAUUUGUAAUUUCGGAUAGGAUUUUUAAUCGAUCUUGUUGUACCAUUUUCUAUUAAAAAAUUAUUUUUAUUUUUUAUUUUCACAUGUAGCUAGGGGUGGGUUCAAAUAACCGAAAACCGAAAAAAACCGAAAACCAAACCGAACCGAGGCCGAAAAAAACCGAACCGAAACUGCCAAACCGAACCGAACCGAAUCUGGCUGGUUCGGUUUCGGUUUUUAAGGUUCGGAAACCGAACCAAAACGAACCGAACCGAACAGAUAUAUAUAUUUAAUUUUGUUUUCAAUAUUAUAAAUAAUUUAGUGAUACAAUCAUAACAAGACAUAACCUGUUACCAAGUUGGUUUGCUUGAAACUUUUCAAGCCCCUGUGCAUGGGUUCGAAUCCUCAUGCUUCCAGGGUUUCAGAAAAGUUUUUUAGUUUUUUUGAGCAAUCAACAACCUUUUAACUUAAAAUUAAAUAUAAAUACUUAAAACCUGCUGCUGUGAGGAAUCGAACCCCUUCCGUCCAGGGGGGAUAAUUCCUUCAAGCCAACUUGACUGUAGGCUUUGUGUUGUUAUAAUUGUACCAGUAAUAUAUUUAUAGGUUUCUAAUAUUUAAAUGCUUUAUAAAAAUUUCUUAAGAUUAAAAAACCCCUAGCCGUCACUCUCCCAAUCCCAUUUCGGUUUUCCCUUUUCUCAAGCACUCUCUCCCCUCCGCUAUUUCCUCUCUGCCUCUCUCUCUCUCUCUUUCUCUCCCCUUCCUCUCUUCCUCCAAAUCACUAUCUCUCUUUGUGGAUUUCGACGGUAGCAAAGAGGAGAGCCAAACCACAGUGGCAGUGGAGCAGUCCAGUGGCACAACAUGGGACUGAUGGGCAGUUGACGGCGGACGAGGGCAGUCAUUAAUCGUUGCAGAUCCAUGAUCCAUGGUUCUUUGUUUUUGUGUUGUGUUGUUGGUUAAUUUUCGUUUGCAGAUUUUUUUUUUCAAUUUCGUUGGUUCUGAACUUCUGAUGAAUUUGAUCUGUAGCUUCUAAAUUUCAUGGUUUUGCAAUUUGUUUUGGGUAUGCUGGAUUUGGUUAGGUAACUUCAUUUAUGAACACUAUUAGACUAUUAGUUGAGGUUUGAUUAAUUUGUGAGAGUACAUACGGUUUGAUUAAUUUGUUUUGGGUAUGCUGCUGCUGAAGCCUGGAUUUGUUGUGGCUGUUUUGCAUUUUUUGGAGGAAAAAAAAAAAUACCGAAAAAAAACCGAAACCGAACCGAAAAAAACCGAAAAAAAUUUGGGCCGAACCGAACCGAACCGAAAUUUCGGUUUGGUUUCGGUUUUGGCAAAAAACCGAACCGAUAAGAACCGAACCCAGCCCUAAUGGAACUGAUGCCCGUUCUUUAUUAAUCAACAGAGUGUUGUUGAUAUGUCAUCGAUAAUGUGUUAAUAUCUAUUGGAAAUGAUGUACUUAACGUGAUGGAAGUGAUGUACCGACACUUUUCCUUUGUUCCUUAAGAGCAACUCCAGCGUGGGCUGGUGCUCGAGGGGAAGGCCCGUGAACAGUGCCACAGAGCUCGGGGAGAGUGCUCCAGCGUGUGGAAGCCCGAUGGACAGGCCAAACCCGAGCAACAGGCCUGGCACGAAUUGCCAGCCCGAGAGCCCAAAGGCAACGUGACGUGGGUUGACGUCAGCCAUAAUAUAAAAUUAAUAAAAAUAUAAAAUAUUAAUAAAAUUAAAAAGUAAAAUUAAAAAAAAAUUAAAAAAAUUGUAAAACCCAGGCUUCGAACUCAACGGCUCUCGCCGGAGUUCAUCGCCGAGGUUGAUGAACACCCACAGACAAAUGGCAGAGAUCCAGUCCAUCCUCCGCUGCAACUGGCGUGCCCAAAUUGGACGAUUUGGGAUUUGUUUUUGGGGGAAAGAGGAGAGAGAGAGAGUUUGGUUAGGGAGCGGGAAAGAUCGGGACCGUUGAUGGAGGCUGAGGUGGGUGUGAUGGUGACGAUGGAGGAAGAGAGGCAGCGGUGGGGUGGUGAAGAUAGAGGAAGAGAGGCGAGGAGGGUUUGGGUGCGUUGUGGGGGGGGGGGGGGAGCGGGCGACACAGGUUGAAAAUUUGGGUGUGGGUUGAAAAUGGUGUGAAAAGAAGAAAAAAAAUGUUGAUGAGUGACGAUGCGUUGGCACCAUCAUGUGAAAAGAAGAAAAAUAAUAAUAAAAAAAAAAAGUUUUGGACUAGUGCUACAUGUAGGGCUGGGUUCGGUUCUUAUCGGUUCGGUUUUUUGCCAAAACCGAAACCAAACCGAAAUUUCGGUUCGGCCCAAAUUUUUUUCGGUUUUUUUCGGUUCGGUUUCGGUUUUUUUUCGGUUAUUUUUUUUUUUCCUCCAAAAAAUGCAAAACAGCCACAACAAAUCCAGGCUUCAGCAGCAGCAUACCCAAAACAAAUUAAUCAAACCGUAUGUACUCUCACAAAUUAAUCAAACCUCAACUAAUAGUCUAAUAGUGUUCAUAAAUGAAGUUACCUAACCAAAUCCAGCAUACCCAAAACAAAUUGCAAAACCAUGAAAUUUAGAAGCUACAGAUCAAAUUCAUCAGAAGUUCAGAACCAACGAAAUUGAAAAAAAAAAUCUGCAAACGAAAAUUAACCAACAACACAACACAAAAACAAAAAGAACCAUGGAUCAUGGAUCUGCAACGAUUAAUGACUGCCCUCGUCCGCCGUCAACUGCCCAUCAGUCCCAUGUUGUGCCACUGGACUGCUCCACUGCCACUGUGGUUUGGCUCUCCUCUUUGCUACCGUCGAAAUCCACAAAGAGAGAUACAGAGUGAUAGUGAUUGGAGGAAGAGAGGAAGGGGAGAGAAAGAGAGAGAGAGAGAGGCAGAGAGGAAAUAGCGGAGGGGGAGAGAGUGCUUGAGAAAAGGGAAAACCGAAAUGGGAUUGGGAGAGUGACGGCUAGGGUUUUUAAUCUUAAGAAAUUUUAUAAAGCAUUAAAUAUUAGAAACCUAUAAAUAUAUUACUGGUACAAUUAUAACAACACAAAGCCUACAGUCAAGUUGGCUUGAAGGAAUUAUCCCCCUGGACGGAAGGGGUUCGAUUCCUCACAGCAGCAGGUUUUAAGUAUUUAUAUUUAAUUUUAAGUUAAAAGGUUGUUGAUUGCUCAAAAAAACUAAAAAACUUUUCUGAAACCCUGGAAGCAUGAGGAUUCGAACCCAUGCACAGGGGCUUGAAAAGUUUCAAGCAAACCAACUUGGUAACAGGUUAUGUCUUGUUAUGAUUGUAUCACUAAAUUAUUUAUAAUAUUGAAAACAAAAUUAAAUAUAUAUAUCUGUUCGGUUCGGUUCGGUUUGGUUCGGUUUCCGAACCUUAAAAACCGAAACCGAACCAGCCAGAUUCGGUUCGGUUCGGUUUGGCAGUUUCGGUUCGGUUUUUUUUCGGUUCGGUUUUUUUCGGCCUCGGUUCGGUUUGGUUUUCGGUUUUUUUCGGUUUUCGGUUAUUUGAACCCACCCCUAAGUUCCAUAGCCAGACAAAUAAUUCUUCAUAUAUAAUUGAUAGAUUGCAUUGUAAUACAUAGGAUGGGACCAAAAUAAUUCCUAGAAUUAAUUUAUAAAAAUUCAACAAUGGUAAAUAAAAUAUGAAAAACAUGCAGCUUCAUCAAGAAGAAACAAGAACAUGCAUGCAUAGAACUGCAGUUUUUUUCCUAACCUGGAUCUUCUCUCUCAACCUAGAGAGAGAGACACACACAGAAACUCCGACUCCAACUCCGACUCCGAGAGAUCUAGACAGAGGGUUAGGUAAUAGGUUAUGCUCUAGGGGAAGCAGGGAAUGAGAAUUUAUAAGGGAAGGGCGCGUCGCCGAGCAAUCGGAAUAUUACAGUGGUAUGCUCUUCCCCUCCAUUUUAGCUAGCUGUUGUUUCUCUGCAGACCCUUCUGUUCAACAAACUCAAGACAUCUUUCAGCGGUAUAUUCCGAAUGUCUGAGAAUUUCUAGUAGAAACCAGUAGUAGCCAAAACCGAAAACAGUUCCAUAUACAUUACCAGAACGCGUAUUUCCACAGUUGUCCAAUUUCUAUAUUUAGUUUUCAAAUUUGAGGUUCAAAUUUUACGUAAUAUAUACUUUGGUGAAGGAAUUAAAUUCCAUAUAAUCUGAGGGGAUGGAAUAUAUGUCCUAAUUGCUAUGCUAGCUAGCUGGAGGAUCGUAAAAGAUUUCAUUACAAGAUUCAUUUCUGAUUUGGGGGGAGAUUUUCAGGUAAAAGUAAUCAAUAAUUUCUCAAUGAUUUGGAGACCAAAAGCAAAGAAAUUAUAGAAUGAUGGUAGAAAUAAAUGGAUUAAUGGAAUAGUGUGCCGAGUGUAAGAAUGUACGAACACCCUCUGUAUUAAAUUGGAAAGUAAAAAAGUUCUAUAAGUUCGAAUCCUCAAUCACAUUGAGAAGAAAAAAAUACAUGAAACACGUUUUGUUUGACUUCUUUUGAGCAUUACAAAUAUAAGAUUUCUAUUAAAAACAAGGAAUAUAAUAUUAAAUUUUCUCUUCGUAUUGUCAAGAUUUCCUUAGAAAAAAUAAAGAAAAAUAAUAUCAACGAAAUCUGAGUGGUUGGAGUUCUUGAGUGUGAAUGAUUGUGCUUUAUCUCUAUUAUUACGUGACUACAACUACGAUCUGAUAUAAGACAUACUCUGAACAGUGAGUAUGGACUAGCCACGCUGCCUUAAGAGAAAAUGUGCAAAACAACCUAAACCCCCAAAAUAAAUUCAACUUUCACAUUGAGAAACAGAAAACGGUUGAUGAUUCUCUUCUACUUUAUAUACUCAAUACCAUUUAGUCACAGCUGCGGAGAGAAACAUGGGUACCCUAGUUUUGAUCAUACACGCGAACCGCAGAUGACAAUUUCAAACACAAAACAUUAGGUUCAAAGAUAAACGCUGACGCUUUACGUACACACAUGUUAUACCACAAAGGAUGAAAUACCCCUCCCCAAAAUGAACUACAGGCUUACAUUACAACAUUAUUUUCUGCACUGCUUAUAGAUCCAACCUACACAACUGGAACUGUCCUGUUGUUAUAGCUUGAUUGCUCCAACUCCACUGUCCCGGUUUCGCUUUCUUCUUCGUUCUCACCCGACAUCUCCUCCAACGACCUCCCAUUCGAUUCAGGCACCAAGAAGGUGAACAAUAUCCCCAAGAAGUUGACCACACCCAACACAAGGAGCGAGUUUUUAACCCCGAUGCCUGGAGGGUACCCUGCAUCUGUCUUGUUCUUAUCUUUGUUCUGAGCCAAGUACAAGAACCCGAAUGCACCAACUAUGGCGCCAAGCUUCCCGGACGCAGCUGAGAUUCCAUGACACGUAGACCGGAACCUAGCUGGGAAAAUCUCAGCCGGCACAACAAAUGUGGUUG
RNAcentral lists this long non-coding RNA (32105 nucleotides) under Malus domestica (apple). RNAcentral describes it as "long non-coding RNA (MDOM_LNC005100)". Lineage: Eukaryota; Viridiplantae; Streptophyta; Magnoliopsida; Rosales; Rosaceae. The record is from RNAcentral.